ACUGUGAAAUGAUGUUGUCCAUGGACGUCUUCCGUCGAUUCGGAGAUGGAUCGUCCAUGGAUGUCUUCCGUCGAUUCGGGGAGCGCUUGCGUCGCAAAUGUGGAAUGCCACCUGGGGUAUCAGAGACUGGACUAGUUUCCUGUUUAGUAGCUUUCAGUACAACCACAAGCUAAAUGGGCUCUGGCUGGAUGGAGUAAGAAAUAUGAACCCAGGUCCGAGGGAUUGUACUGAGGUAGUUGUGUAGGUGGGAGCGCGGGUCCCUCAGGUGGUCUGGAGGAAUAUGUUCUGAAAAUUCUUGAAGUCGAUGCCAUUGCUACUCCACCCGGUGGACAGCAAGGGAUUAACACGUCGAUUUCUUGUGGGGAAUGUGUACAACCUCUCGAGAGUGUCAAACUAAGUACUUAACCGUGUCCCUGGUUACGGACAUUUAUGAGCAACUAGAUAUUGGGGCUGUAAGGAAGGUCUCACUCAUUCCAACUUCUUAAAUAAAAUGAAUGGUUUGAACAGCUACUGUCUUAGUUGUUCAAAACUGAAUUUAAACAGUGCCAAAAUAUUCUACACGUUGUGACGAUUUCAGAAAGGUGCGGAACACAAUUUUUGGACAAACGGUUUGAAAGAUAUGAGGCUUUGAAGUUACAGGGGCUUUUCUGCAAAAAAUGCAUUGUCUACUACGGCCGAAAAUAAAAUAAAAUAAAAUAAAAAGGGCACUGCCACGUGGCAGAACAAGAGUGGUCGGAGCCUAGGGUUUCCGCCGGCCGGGCUAGCUCGCCGGACGGCGGCGGCGCAGGCGGGCGGAGGCGGCGCGGCGGGUC
Molecule: long non-coding RNA, 812 nt
Filed under: Brachypodium distachyon (stiff brome)
Lineage: Eukaryota; Viridiplantae; Streptophyta; Magnoliopsida; Poales; Poaceae
Description: long non-coding RNA (BDIS_LNC005418)
Source: RNAcentral